This 108-nucleotide non-coding RNA is filed under the name Kurthia sp. 11kri321. RNAcentral describes it as "TPP riboswitch aptamer (THI element)". It matches the Rfam family "TPP riboswitch aptamer (THI element)". Rfam says of the family: Vitamin B(1) in its active form thiamin pyrophosphate (TPP) is an essential coenzyme that is synthesised by coupling of pyrimidine and thiazole moieties in bacteria. The previously detected thiamin-regulatory element, thi box was extended, resulting in a new, highly conserved RNA secondary structure, the THI element, which is widely distributed in eubacteria and also occurs in some archaea. The record is from Rfam by way of RNAcentral. RNAcentral also lists the same sequence under 1 other name. Lineage: Bacteria; Bacillati; Bacillota; Bacilli; Caryophanales; Caryophanaceae.
CUUCACCACUAGGGGUGCCGUUUUUACGUGCUGAGAGAGGUUUCGACACCUUAACCCUUAUUACCUGAUCUAGUUCGGACUAGCGUAGGGAAGUGGCAUGCGAUGAUU